AAAUGAAUAGACGGGGGCCCGCACAAGCAGUGGAGUAUGUGGUUUAAUUCGAAGCAACGCGAAGAACCUUACCAGGGCUUGACAUCCCUUGACGAGUGUAGAGAUACACUUUCUCUUCGGAGCAAGGAGACAGGUGGUGCAUGGUUGUCGUCAGCUCGUGUCGUGAGAUGUUGGGUUAAGUCCCGCAACGAGCGCAACCCCUGUUGUUAGUUGCCAUCAUUAAGUUGGGCACUCUAACGAGACUGCCGGUGACAAAUCGGAGGAAGGUGGGGACGACGUCAAAUCAUCAUGCCCCUUAUGUCCUGGGCUACACACGUACUACAAUGGCUGUUACAGAGGGAAGCUAAUUCGCGAGGAGGAGCAAAUCCCCAAAGGCAGCCCCAGUUCGGAUUGCAGGCUGAAACUCGCCUGCAUGAAGUCGGAAUUGCUAGUAAUGGCAGGUCAGCAUACUGCCGUGAAUACGUUCCCGGGCCUUGUACACACCGCCCGU
Molecule: ribosomal RNA, 490 nt
Filed under: uncultured bacterium
Lineage: Bacteria
Description: bacterial SSU rRNA
Rfam family: Bacterial small subunit ribosomal RNA
Source: RNAcentral